This 734-nucleotide ribosomal RNA is filed under the name uncultured Cellulosimicrobium sp. RNAcentral describes it as "bacterial SSU rRNA". It matches the Rfam family "Bacterial small subunit ribosomal RNA", at positions 28 to 776 of the family's 1533-position model. Lineage: Bacteria; Bacillati; Actinomycetota; Actinomycetes; Micrococcales; Promicromonosporaceae. The record is from RNAcentral.
GACGAACGCUGGCGGCGUGCUUAACACAUGCAAGUCGAACGAUGAUGCCCAGCUUGCUGGGCGGAUUAGUGGCGAACGGGUGAGUAACACGUGAGUAACCUGCCCUUGACUUCGGGAUAACUCCGGGAAACCGGGGCUAAUACCGGAUAUGAGCCGUCCUCGCAUGGGGGUGGUUGGAAAGUUUUUCGGUCAGGGAUGGGCUCGCGGCCUAUCAGCUUGUUGGUGGGGUGAUGGCCUACCAAGGCGACGACGGGUAGCCGGCCUGAGAGGGCGACCGGCCACACUGGGACUGAGACACGGCCCAGACUCCUACGGGAGGCAGCAGUGGGGAAUAUUGCACAAUGGGCGAAAGCCUGAUGCAGCGACGCCGUGUGAGGGAUGAAGGCCUUCGGGUUGUAAACCUCUUUCAGCAGGGAAGAAGCGCAAGUGACGGUACCUGCAGAAGAAGCGCCGGCUAACUACGUGCCAGCAGCCGCGGUAAUACGUAGGGCGCAAGCGUUGUCCGGAAUUAUUGGGCGUAAAGAGCUCGUAGGCGGUUUGUCGCGUCUGGUGUGAAAACUCGAGGCUCAACCUCGAGCUUGCAUCGGGUACGGGCAGACUAGAGUGCGGUAGGGGAGACUGGAAUUCCUGGUGUAGCGGUGGAAUGCGCAGAUAUCAGGAGGAACACCGAUGGCGAAGGCAGGUCUCUGGGCCGCAACUGACGCUGAGGAGCGAAAGCAUGGGGAGCGAACAGG